AUGCAAAUGUGUGGUCUACUGAAUCUGCUACAAAGAUCUGUUCAUCCCUCAUUGAGGAAAAGUUUCUUCACUGCUGUUCUUCACUGCUUCUUCACUUCAUCAUAUAACAGCGGGAGACCUGCCUCGCAGAAUGGCGCACCAUUCACAACAGGAUGUGUCACAGACAGCCUGGAACAUGUGGCCUUUGUCUCCGACUACAUCAGCGAAUGUGCUGUGAAGGAUACUAGGGAGCAGCAAUCCAUUAAUGAGAUUUGGGAAUUUAAGGGCUAUUGGGGAUCAGUUAUGCCCAGUGGUCUGAAACUGUUGCAACAAGCAGUCCGUAUUCUAGUUGAUUCAACAGCUGAAUGUGGAAGAUUGCUCUGUGCUAUGAAUGACCCACUCUCCCGUGCUGCCUGUAACUUGCUGACUGUUCCAGGCUUGUCAGAUCCCUUGUUUCUCAAACUCAGUAAUUCAGCAUUGAAGGACUUCGAUCCUAAAUACUAUCUGAAAAUGCCUGAUUUGUUGUUUGGGUCCAGCUGUACGUUGUCUUGUGGGAAGACGCUGUGGGGGAAACGGGAAGUCUCCUGAAAAUCAACAAAACACUAAUUUGAAUUAAACUGAAAUCAGGCCUCAGCUGCCUAUGCAUUUUAAGGAUGCUUUGCACUCUUAUAUUGGCUGAGAUUUGGUUAGAAUAAGUCUUGUAUGACAAAGAUACAGUAAGAAAGACACAGUAUUUGUUGAUACCACUAUAGUGGUGGCUAUACAAUUACAAAUGGACAUCUCAAUGUUAACCGUCUUGCUUUCUUCACAAAGCUCACAAAGGAACAUGAUUUCCUUAUAUACUUAAGUGGAAUUGUUUCAGUUGUUCCAGACCAUUCAUACUAUUCAGUAUUUGACUUGAAGUUAUUUAUUUUGUACUCAAUAUUUAUCCUUGUAGUUUAUUGUAGUUAUUACUGUCAUUUAAUGUACUCAUUUAGUGAUGCCUGAUAUCCAGUGCUAGUCAAAUAUCUUUAUUUGCGAGAUAACAUUGAGAAGGACUGCUCAGAUAAUUUCCAAGAGAUGCAGUUUGGACUGAAAUACUGAAAGAUGCAAAGGAUUUGUUCUUUAGUAUUUGGUAGUUCUUUCUGAGUUCAAUAAUCUCGUUUACCUUUAUAGUCCCAGUUAAUUUUCCUAGCCUAUAUUUCUGUUGCUAUUUCUGUUUCUAGGACUGUCCAGAAAAAGAAUUGUUCCAAGCACAUGCUUCAUGCCUUGCUUUAUGCUUGGAACAAUUCUUUUUCUGGACAGUCCUAAGAGUACCUCUCCUUAACUUUUGCUUCUUCUGUAUUCACCUCAUUCCUCAUAUCUUCACUUAUGUAAACAGCUGAAUUGCAUGUAGUGUCUGUGUUUGGCUUAUAUCUUGCACUGCUGAUUUUUCUGUACUUUGAAUUAUAUUUCCGCCUUUUUCUAAAAUAAUUUGGAAUUUUUGUAGUGUUAAUGACUGUGAUCCCUAAUCACAGUAUGAGAAUCUUUGGUCAUUUAUACUCUGGGUUCUGACUAUAAUGCAUUUUACUUUAUUUGGACACUUUUACUGAAAGCAAAUUUUUGUUAUAAAAAAUCAAUUAUUAGUUUUACUAGUUCAUAUUUCCAUAUCCUGCAAUCCCCGCCAUGGGAAUUUACAAACCAGUAAUGACUACCGUUGCUUUCCCAGUCUUUUGGGGAAACAGCCUACUUACUUGAUAAAGUAGACCACUUACCAAAUAUCUCUCAGUUCAAGAUGCAGUUCUUGAACUCUUGGCAACAUUUAAAGCACUGAAUAAAUACUAAGAUUCAACACA
Molecule: long non-coding RNA, 1793 nt
Organism: Struthio camelus australis
Lineage: Eukaryota; Metazoa; Chordata; Aves; Struthioniformes; Struthionidae
Source: Ensembl